Non-coding RNA from Ictidomys tridecemlineatus (thirteen-lined ground squirrel), 572 nucleotides. Lineage: Eukaryota; Metazoa; Chordata; Mammalia; Rodentia; Sciuridae. The record is from RefSeq and is a predicted model, not a curated record.
UUGAAUCACAGUUUUCUCUGUGAUAAAAUCUAAACAGGGAAAGAAAUUUACAUAGCUUCUCAUAUCAUGGAAUAUUAUGACAAAAACCAAAUAGGUAUUAUAAAUAGUAGGUACUGAAUAGUCCAAUAUUUCAACAAAAAGUGUGUUUCUAUUUGUACAAGUGAGAAAAGGGCAGAGAAAGAAAAAGAGUGGAGAAGAGGGAAAGUGAGAAGGAGGCCAGUCAUGGCCAUGCAAAGGCUAAUGUGAAGAUCAAGUCAGAAAACACAAAAGUGGUUGGUGUGAUGCCACAUUCCCUGGACUCCAAAAGUGUUAAUUGCUGUAAUUGGGUCUGUUGCCUAAAGGAGUUUUGGUUGAUUCAUCGUCUCUUUUGCUCAGAGGGUUGAUCACUGUAAAUGACUUUAUUGACCCGUGGCUUGGUUCAGCAUCAUAUGCUCCAGUGAAGCAAACAAUAAACAGCUGCUAAGUGCAGAAGCCCUGCAUCUCCACUGGCAUUCGGGAGCCCACCUCAAUGAUGACAUCUUCCACCAUAAUUUCUGAACAACCGUGCACAGUACUACAAAGCAUGACAAUGG